This 253-nucleotide ribosomal RNA is filed under the name uncultured bacterium. Its description in RNAcentral is "partial 16S ribosomal RNA". It matches the Rfam family "Bacterial small subunit ribosomal RNA", at positions 524 to 776 of the family's 1533-position model. The record is from RNAcentral.
UACGUAGGGGGCGAGCGUUGUCCGGAAUCAUUGGGCGUAAAGCGCGUGUAGGCGGCCCGGUAAGUCCGCUGUGAAAGCCCGAGGCUCAACCUCGGGAGGCGAGUGGAUACUGCUCAGCUAGAGUCCGGAAGAGGCGAGUGGAAUUCCUGGUGUAGCGGUGAAAUGCGCAGAUAUCAGGAGGAACACCAAUGGCGAAGGCAGCUCGCUGGGACGGUACUGACACUGAGACGCGAAAGCGUGGGGAGCAAACAGG